AUGGAUUGCUGCUUUCACGGUCAGAUCUGUAGUGUUUGUUUUGUGUUGGGUUGUUUGGCGAUGCAGUUCAGAUGUAGUCUUGCUAACGUUAUCAACGUGGACCUCAUUAUUUGGGAGCAAACUUGUAACCUUUAUUCAACCUGUUUGAUCCGACGAUCGGUUCCGGAUUACCGGAAGGUUUCUGAUGCUUUAUGCAACACGAUUUGGCAUGUACGUGUCCCAAAAGUUAGUGUACCAGCAGAAGCUUCAAAAGAUCGUCAUUUUUACAGACGUGCUGUCUGUGCUAUUCUUGAACUCACAGGAGGAGCUUUUGGGAUCGAUAUGUGCUUGGUGCAUAAUAUCUUAUAA
RNAcentral lists this ribosomal RNA (348 nucleotides) under Triticum aestivum (bread wheat). Its description in RNAcentral is "partial small subunit ribosomal RNA". The record is from RNAcentral. Lineage: Eukaryota; Viridiplantae; Streptophyta; Magnoliopsida; Poales; Poaceae.